Molecule: ribosomal RNA, 983 nt
Filed under: uncultured cyanobacterium
Lineage: Bacteria; Bacillati; Cyanobacteriota
Description: bacterial SSU rRNA
Rfam family: Bacterial small subunit ribosomal RNA
Source: RNAcentral
CCAGCAGCCGCGGUAAUACGGUGGCAAGCGUUAUCCGGAAUUAUUGGGCGUAAAGCGUCCGCAGGCGGUCUUUUAAGUCUGUUGUUAAAGCGUGGAGCUUAACUCCAUUUCAGCAAUGGAAACUGGAAGACUAGAGUGUGGUAGGGGCAGAGGGAAUUCCCGGUGUAGCGGUGAAAUGCGUAGAUAUCGGGAAGAACCCCAGUGGGGAGGCGCUCGCUGGCCAUAACUGACGUCAUGACGAAAGCAGGGAGCGAAAGGGAUAGAUACCCCGUAGUCCUGCCGUAAACCGAUGACCAUAGGUGUCGGGGAAUCGACCCCCUCCGGUGUCGUAGCCAACGCGUAAGUGUUCCGCCUGGGGAGUACGCACGCAAGUGUGAAACUCAAAGGAAUUGACGGGGGCCCGCACAAGCGGUGGAGUAUGUGGUUUAAUUCGAUGCAACGCGAAGAACCCUUACAGGGUUUGACAUCCUGCGAAUCCCUUGGAAACGAGGGAGUGCCAUCGGGAACGCAGUGACAGGUGGUGCAUGGCUGUCGUCAGCUCGUGUCGUGAGAUGUUGGGUUAAGUCCCGCAACGAGCGCAACCCACGUCGUUAGUUGCCAGCAUUCAGUUGGGCACUCUAGCGAGACCGCCGGUGAUAAACCGGAGGAAGGUGUGGAUGACGUCAAGUCAUCAUGCCCCUUACAUCCUGGGCUACACACGUACUACAAUGCUACGGACAAAGGGCAGCAAACUCGCGAGAGCUAGCAAAUCCCAUAAACCGUGGCUCAGUUCAGAUCGUAGGCUGCAACUCGCCUACGUGAAGGAGGAAUCGCUAGUAAUCGCAGGUCAGCAUACUGCGGUGAAUACGUUCCCGGGCCUUGUACACACCGCCCGUCACACCAUGGAAGUUGGCCACGCCCGAAGCCGUUACUCCAACCCUUGUGGAGGAGGACGUCGAAGGUGGGGCUGAUGACUGGGGUGAAGUCGUAACAAGGUAGCCGAU